Non-coding RNA from Eumeta japonica, 111 nucleotides. Lineage: Eukaryota; Metazoa; Arthropoda; Insecta; Lepidoptera; Psychidae. The record is from the annotation of a GenBank genome assembly.
AACGUCCAUACCACGUUGAUUGCACCGGUUCUCGUCCGAUGACCGAAGUUAGGCACUGUCAGUUACGGUUAAUACUUGGAUGGGUGACCGCCUGGGAACACCAUGUAAUGU